UUAAGUUCAGCGGGUAGUCUUACUUGAUUUGAGAUCGAGUUUAACAAGAGGUUUUGAAGACUCUUGUGAAAAUCCUGCAUCAGUCAGCCAAAAUGGUCAAACUCCCUUUAUAUUAGCUGCAGCAAAAGUAAUAAUCCGUUUGACGGGACUAAAUGAAUAUGCUUUUAGCUCAGGAGAAUGUCCAGCUGCACCUGCAUUUC
This 200-nucleotide unclassified non-coding RNA is filed under the name Mortierella sp. RNAcentral's name for it is "partial internal transcribed spacer 2". Lineage: Eukaryota; Fungi; Mortierellomycota; Mortierellomycetes; Mortierellales; Mortierellaceae. The record is from RNAcentral.